Tarenaya hassleriana is the source of this 945-nucleotide long non-coding RNA. RefSeq lists it as uncharacterized. The transcript has 4 exons. NCBI's taxonomy places the organism in Eukaryota, Viridiplantae, Streptophyta, Magnoliopsida, Brassicales, Cleomaceae. The record is from RefSeq and is a predicted model, not a curated record.
AGAGAAAACACAUUUCCGUGUUUUCCUCACCCACUCUCCUACCCCAUCUCACAUCACUCUCUCACGUUAUCUUCUUCCCCGCUUAUUCUUCUUUUCUUCCUCUUCCUUGGUCGUUCAUUUUCUUCUAUCAUUGCUUCCUCUCCCUCGCUCGCUAUUCUCCAAUAGAAACUCCAGAUAAUCCGCUCCUGUAAGUCCCCUAACUUGAUGCCAAUGGAAAAAUGAUCAAGAAACAGGUAAUAAUUUGAAUCAACCACAAAAGCUCAAGGAAGCAUAGAAACACUCGGACCCAGAAGAGCUCUAGAAAGUUUCUACCCAUCAUCCAAUCUGCUAUCCACUACUCGCAGCCUGCAAGCAUAACUUGAGGGACAAGUAAAGACAACAUCAACUCGAGGAAGGACUUGAAAGAUAUAUGCAAGAGAAAAUAGUUGGAGUUGACACGUGAUGGUCACGCACCUGUGCCGAUAUUCAGACUCACAAGACCAGGUAAAACGGUCUUGUUUAAAUGGUUAAAAGAAGAGGUUAAAUUCCCUGAUGGAUAUGCAUCCAAAUUGGCGCGAUGUGUUGAUACUAAUUCAUUAAAGCUUAUGGGAAUGAAGAGUCAUGAUUGCCAUAUAUUCAUGCAAAGACUCAUUCCUAUUGCAUUUGCGGAGCUAUUGAAACCCAAUGUCGACGGAGCAUUAUGCGGUAUCAGCACAUUCUUUCGAGAUAUAUGUGCAAGAUCUCUGAGAAGAAGUAACCUAGAGGUUUUGAAAGGCAACAUUCCUGAGAUACUUUGCGCAUUGGAAAAGGUAUUUCCACCUUCAUUUUUUGAUGUGAUGGAACAUUUACCUAUUCAUUUACCAGAUGAAGCGAUAUACGGUGGUCCAGUACAGUUUAGAUGGAUGUAUCCAUUUGAGCGAUUUUUUUUCCAUCUGAAGAAGAAGGCAAAAAACAAAGCAGCAGUGG